GACGAACGCUGGCGGCGUGCCUAACACAUGCAAGUCGAACGGAAAGGCCCUGCUUUUGUUGGGUGCUCGAGUGGCGAACGGGUGAGUAACACGUGAGUAACCUGCCCUUGACUUUGGGAUAACUUCAGGAAACUGGUGCUAAUACCUGCUAGGUGCUCCUGCUGCAUGGUGGGGGUCGGAACGUUUCGGCGGUUGGGGAUGGACUCGCGGCUUAUCAGCUUGUUGGUGGGGUAGUGGCUUACCAAGGCUUUGACGGGUAGCCGGCCUGAGAGGGUGACCGGCCACAUGGGGACUGAGAUACGGACCAGACUCCUACGGGAGGCAGCAGUGGGGAAUAUUGCACAAUGGGCGGAAGCCUGAUGCAGAAACGCCGCGUGCGGGAUGAAGGCCUUCGGGUUGUAAACCGCUUUCGCCUGUGACGAAGCGUGAGUGACGGUAAUGGGUAAAGAAGCACCGGCUAACUACGUG
This 468-nucleotide ribosomal RNA is filed under the name uncultured bacterium. RNAcentral's name for it is "partial 16S ribosomal RNA". It matches the Rfam family "Bacterial small subunit ribosomal RNA", at positions 28 to 507 of the family's 1533-position model. The record is from RNAcentral.